Molecule: ribosomal RNA, 751 nt
Filed under: uncultured bacterium
Lineage: Bacteria
Description: bacterial SSU rRNA
Rfam family: Bacterial small subunit ribosomal RNA
Source: RNAcentral
ACGCUGGCGGCAGGCCUAACACAUGCAAGUCGAGCGGUAGCACAGGAGAGCUUGCUCUCUGGGUGACGAGCGGCGGACGGGUGAGUAAUGUCUGGGAAACUGCCUGAUGGAGGGGGAUAACUACUGGAAACGGUAGCUAAUACCGCAUGACCUCGCAAGAGCAAAGUGGGGGACCUUCGGGCCUCACGCCAUCGGAUGUGCCCAGAUGGGAUUAGCUAGUAGGUGGGGUAAUGGCUCACCAAGGCGACGAUCCCUAGCUGGUCUGAGAGGAUGACCAGCCACACUGGAACUGAGACACGGUCCAGACUCCUACGGGAGGCAGCAGUGGGGAAUAUUGCACAAUGGGCGCAAGCCUGAUGCAGCCAUGCCGCGUGUGUGAAGAAGGCCUUAGGGUUGUAAAGCACUUUCAGCGAGGAGGAAGGCGCUGUAGUUAAUAGCUGCAGCGAUUGACGUUACUCGCAGAAGAAGCACCGGCUAACUCCGUGCCAGCAGCCGCGGUAAUACGGAGGGUGCAAGCGUUAAUCGGAAUUACUGGGCGUAAAGCGCACGCAGGCGGUUUGUUAAGUCAGAUGUGAAAUCCCCGAGCUUAACUUGGGAACUGCAUUUGAAACUGGCAAGCUAGAGUCUUGUAGAGGGGGGUAGAAUUCCAGGUGUAGCGGUGAAAUGCGUAGAGAUCUGGAGGAAUACCGGUGGUGAAGGCGGCCCCCUGGACAAAGACUGACGCUCAGGUGCGAAAGCGUGGGGAGCAAAC